UCAGGCUGCACCUAGUAGAGGGGGGAGUCUCAAGGAAUUUGUGGAUCUAUUUUUAAGCUACCAGGAAUCCGUGUGAAGCGAAGUAGGAGUCUUGGCAGGGAGAGGGGCGGACGGGGAGGGCAUGUUAUGUCAGGCAAAUGGUCUACCUCAAUUCAAGCUUCUGCGUUCUAGAUUUAAUGUGCUCAACAUCGCAGAGUAUACUUAGUCUCUGACUGCAAGUAGAUGGAUGCUACAUUGUAAGUAUUCAAGCCAGAAAGAACCUUCCAGAUCAUUGAUCCAACUUCCUCAUUUUACAGAAGGGAAAACAGGCCCACACAGGAGCAGUGACUUUCCCAGGAUAGCCAGCUGAGAUACCCUAAGAAGAGAUGAGCUCUAGAGAAGGUGAUUUCAGGGAAGAUAGAAACAAGCUGAAUUUGGGAUUCUCAGGAACUGCCAAGACGCUGAGGCCCUUCUGGCCCUGAGACAAGCUGCCCUCCUUCCAGAGAUGGCCAAGAGCGAGGCUGGCCAGAAAGAGAGGAAAUGGAAAUAAGCUCCCAGCUGCCUCACAGCCCCUCACAGCAGCCAGAGCAGUCACCGCUGCUUGCCGAUCGAGAACAUGGAGCAGAAAACUCCUGCUAUGUGGCCAGUCCUUCUCAGCAACUCAGGAACACCGGGAGCAGCUCAAGGCCAGAGCGUACAAUGAUAAAGAAAUAGACCAAGCUCUUCCCACUUCAUCCCUGCUUGUCGGACGGGUUGGGCCUGGACUGACUCCUCUCCUCAGACAGACCCCAUGGGCAGCAGUGCUGAUUUGGGGCAGUUUCCUGAAAUUGCAGCAUGGACCAAAUCACAGGCUUUGGACUGCACCACUCAUUGCCUGGAGGAACCUUCCUUCACUGGGCUAAACUUCAGCUUCCCAGCUAUGAGACGGGAUCGCCUCUCCCUUCCUCUGUGUGAUGCUGUGCGGAUUCAACAGGCUGUAAAUGUGUGAAGCACCAGCACACAUUAGACGCUCCAUACAUGCUCUAGAACUUUCUCUUACCCUGUGCAGGCAAGAUCUGCUUUCUACCAUAGUGCACUGCGCUAUCCAUACAACAAGGAUAAGAAUACGUAUUGUACUCAGUUAUGAGAAGUAAAAUAUCUAGAAAUUACUCAAUUAUUGCUAGAUGCAUCCCGAUCCAGCCCUCCCCCUUGACACCAAGUAGUUAGGCAGGAACCCACGACACAGA
Molecule: long non-coding RNA, 1205 nt
Filed under: Equus caballus (horse)
Lineage: Eukaryota; Metazoa; Chordata; Mammalia; Perissodactyla; Equidae
Description: lncRNA (ENSECAG00000045915.1)
Source: RNAcentral